UGGGGAAUAUUGCACAAUGGGGGGAACCCUGAUGCAGCGACGCCGCGUGAGCGAAGAAGUAUCUCGGUAUGUAAAGCUCUAUCAGCAGGGAAGAAGAUGGACGGUACCUGACUAAGAAGCUCCGGCUAAAUACGUGCCAGCAGCCGCGGUAAUACGUAUGGAGCAAGCGUUAUCCGGAUUUACUGGGUGUAAAGGGAGCGCAGGCGGCGCGCCAAGUCUGGUGUGAAACCCCGGGGCUCAACCCCGGGACUGCAUUGGAAACUGGCGUGCUGGAGUGUCGGAGGGGCAGGCGGAAUUCCUGGUGUAGCGGUGAAAUGCGUAGAUAUCAGGAGGAACACCGGUGGCGAAGGCGGCCUGCUGGACGACAACUGACGCUGAGGCUCGAAAGCGUGGGGAGCAAACAGG
This 405-nucleotide ribosomal RNA is filed under the name uncultured bacterium. RNAcentral's name for it is "bacterial SSU rRNA". It matches the Rfam family "Bacterial small subunit ribosomal RNA", at positions 355 to 776 of the family's 1533-position model. The record is from RNAcentral.